Molecule: long non-coding RNA, 1137 nt
Filed under: Anser brachyrhynchus (Pink-footed goose)
Lineage: Eukaryota; Metazoa; Chordata; Aves; Anseriformes; Anatidae
Description: lncRNA (ENSABRG00000018260.1)
Source: RNAcentral
AGGGGUUCCUGCCGUAGUCCCGGCGGAUCCAGGCGCGGUACUGCUGGGACAGAGCCAGGCGGGGUGCAGGGGUCACAGGGGGCUGUGCCGCCCCCCACCCCAGCGUGUUGCAAAGCCCUAAAUCAAGGCAGGGCAUCCCAACCAGGACACGGUCACGGCACCGGUCCCUGUUUUGCAGGAGCUGCCACGCCAUGCAGCGUGCACACAUCGUACGAAACCAAGCCCUACACAAACACCAGCCAGCCCCUCGGAGCACCCCAGGCCCACAGAGCUGGCAGCAGCCCCGUUUUUUUCCCCCCCCACCGUGCUGCAGCCUCUGGCAGCUUCAUUCACUUUCCCUUGCCGGGAAGCUGCUCAGCUCCCCGUGGGGCUGAGUUACCAGAAAGCAAGCGUCCCCACGCUUUCUCCCCGCUGGGGCAGGCCGGUCUCGCGGCCCCAAACGCCGCAGGCAGGUCGGCUCUUGCAGGCUGUGCAGGGCUGUUUGCAGAGCGGUUUGCUCAUCGCAGCCCUCCUCCCGUCCCCACAGAGGCUCUGCUGGCGUCCGGGUGGCCCGGGGCCAGCUGGCACCCGGCAGAGAUCCGGAGGCGGCUUCGGAGCAGGAGAUGGCCCCAUGGAAAGGCUUCCCGACACCGCCGCGGCACGGAGCUGCGGGAUCUGUGCCCAGAAGCGUGGGCAGGGAAGGGCAGCUCAGCUGGAGCCGCCGUGCCUGUGGCCCCGGGCACGAGAACAGCUUCGGAGCCUGACAAAAGGAGCGGGGACCCAGCGAACAGGCACCCAGCGAGCAGGGCGCACGGGGAGGAGCGGCCAGAGAGGGCUGGCUUGUGCCCAGCGGUGCGAAAUGCUCCGCAAAGCGCACGGAGCCUGCAGGCAGGGAUGGGAAAGCUGCAAGGGGGAAAGGGUGGAGCGUCCGGCCCCCGGCAGCACCCAUGGGUGCCGCCAGCAGGGCCAGCACUCAAUAGCUGGGAACACUGGGACAGGCGUCAGCUUCAGGGAGGCAGGGGGCUGUUAAAACACCCCCGGUUUUGGGGGCCGGCAGCUCCCACGUGCCCCGGCCUCGAUGCCUCCAGACAAGGUGCCCCCAAACAGCAGUGGGGCUCCGGCCUCCUGGGAUCGGGGGAAAGACAGGAGAAAGCCUGA